UGAUUUUUAUUUAUUUAUUUAUUAUAAUAUUGAAUUGCAUACGUACUUUUUUCAAACGAACUUUAUCCCUUACAAACAUUUGCUUACAAAAAAUUGCAUACGAAUUUUAUGCAUGCGAACUAUUUCCAUACGUACUGUGGUCCUAGAAUCAUUAUAAAGAGCGGAGCAAUUCUUGUCUAAACCCUGUAAUAGAAUAAGUCUUUGUAGGUCACAGGAGGCCAUAGAUAAGGGAGGUUAGGUUCUCAGGUAAUAUUUCCUUUGUCUUGUUUCCCUGUUAGCUUUGAGGGUCAGGGUGGACCACUGGCCGCCACCUCCUCCUUGCCCUCAUGCUAAACCUUUACUACUGUUCCUAUAGACAUAAGAAGAAGAGGAGGAAGAACAAGAGGAGGAGGAGGAGGAGGAUGAAGGGGACACACAGGAAUCAAAUGGCUGGGGAAGGAGACGGUGGCUGAGUGGUUAGUGUGCCGGUCCUGCGUUCACUGCGUCAUGGAUGAUGAGGGUUUGAAUCUGUCGCUGCCACAGACUACUUGUCCUGAAGACCACCACCAUCAUCCUGGACUGUAUGGGACUGUCCAAGGGAAAGCAAGAUGGGGCCGCUAUAAACACUUGCCGGCUUGGGCCCACCACCAGGCCCAGCCGAGGGAGGUUGGUGUAGCAGUGCUGGGAGGUGCCAUAACACAGGGCACUCCUCACCUCAACAACAGUCUCUUCACCGACAAGUAAUUCUUCACCAACAAGCUUUUCAGCAGCUUGGAGAAAUAGACACUACCAAACGAAGAAGAGGAGGAGGAGGAGGACUGGGAAGAAGACGAGGAACACAGGAGGAGCCCAUUGAGAGAACAAGAAGAAGAAGAAGAAGAAGAAGAAGAGGAGGACACAGGAAUUCCUUGGUUGGUGUAGCAGUGCUGGGAGGUGCCAUAACACAGGGCACUCCUCACCUCAACAACAGUCUCUUCACCGACAAGUAAUUCUUCACCAACAAGCUUUUCAGCAGCUUGGAGAAAUAGAGGAAGAAGAGGAGGAAGAAGAAGAGAAGAUGAAGAGGAAGAAGAGGAGGAGGAGGAUAAGGACUUGGUUGGUGUAGCAGUGCCGGAGGUGCCAUAACACAGGGCACUCCUCACCUCAACAACAGUCUCUUCACUGACAAGUAAUUCUUCACCAACAAGCUUUUCAGCAGCUUGGAGAAAUAGACACUACCAAACGAAGAAGAGGAGGAGGAGGAGGAGGAGGAAGAAGAAGACGAGGAACACAGGAGGAACCCAUUGAGUGUGCGGUGUCCCGCAGGCAGACCGAGAUGUCCGUUCAAUUCUGCCGAAGGAAAAGAAGUCGUGUUAGUCAACUCUGAUGACUUGUACUUUUCUCUGCAAGGGAGUUCUGUAAGCCAGUCACAGAAGAUGUGAACUGUAUCUGUACUAUGAAGUCUUAUAA
RNA transcript from Eriocheir sinensis (Chinese mitten crab), 1428 nucleotides. RefSeq lists it as uncharacterized. The transcript is spliced from 11 exons. Lineage: Eukaryota; Metazoa; Arthropoda; Malacostraca; Decapoda; Varunidae. The record is from RefSeq and is a predicted model, not a curated record.